Molecule: long non-coding RNA, 3887 nt
Organism: Ictidomys tridecemlineatus (thirteen-lined ground squirrel)
Lineage: Eukaryota; Metazoa; Chordata; Mammalia; Rodentia; Sciuridae
Source: RefSeq, a predicted model, not a curated record
ACCCAUGCUGGGGCCUUAGUAAUUUUAGUGGUAAUUCAGAGAACUAAUCACUGUAUUUUAACAGUGUGGCAUGGUGAAUUACAUAAUUUAGUGGAAUUACUGCCUAACAGUCUUAUGUCUGCCGCUAUUAUUCCUAGAUGAGUGGGGGAAAGGGGAGAGAGAGAGAAAGAGGAGAGAGAGAGAGAGAGAGAGAGAGAGAGAGAGAGAGAGAGAGAGAGAGAGAGCGCACACAGGCUCCAGAGUGGCUUUAUUAGCAGGUUUGAAAUCGGUCCCUGAGGGUGACUGCUGUCUCUGGCAGAAAAAGAACAAAUAAUCAGAGCGACCUUGACUGGAUUUUGUCAACCAGGGAAGCUGUCUCCUUUGCUGCAGAGGGCCCACAGAGUUUGGAUCAAGGAAACGUCCUCAUCAGUAUUGGAAGUGUCAAUCCCUGUGCUCAGCUGACCAUCACCCGUCCAUCAUGGGACAGACGGCGUCUCUCAGGGGAGAAAACAAAGCUACCUGCAUGAGAGGGUUCUUGGAAGAUGGAGCGGGGGAGUUAAGGGGAUCACUGUAGCUGCAUCAGCCAGUAUCCAGCCAGUUCAACACUCUAAUCAAGGAUAUAGUGGAAGGGAUUCAAUUCAGGAGGCUGGUGGCUCCAUGAGGAAGCAGCAGGAGAUGGGCAUCCUGUGGUUGGCAGCAGCAGGAAGCCAUGACCCCCCCCCACCCCAGCCUGCAGAUCAGGGAGGAAGCAAUGCACAUGAUCCAGGGGCAGGAGUGGGUCACCAAGGUGGGGCUACAGAAGAACCAGCAGCCCCAGCUGAGACUCCAGCAGUUCUCUUCUACUCACCUCCUUAUCUCCUGCCUUGGACUUGAAGACCGACUAUCCUCCCCUCCGCAUAGCUAACAGCCCACGUGAAGACUCUGACCGCUGAGAGCAUGUCCUCUUUCUUCAGUCACCUUGCUGUCUGUGACAACUCAUGCAUGCAGUGGUCGCAGCAUGGCCGUGGAGUGGAAGUGGAGGUCCGCCAGCCCCUCUUCUGCUGGUGCCUGGGCAUUCGCCUGCGGAGAGCAGUGGAGGUGGUCAUACCAGAGCAGCAGUUGGGGAAGGCAGCCUCGUGGCCUGCAGGGGACAGGACGUGGGCUGCAUGACUGAGCCUCUGGAACCCACUGAGGCGUGAGCGAUCCACGCGUUCACUCACUAACUCCUUCCUUUCUUCUUGGAUUACUUGGAUACUACAUGCAGGAUAACGAGCAGAUAGAGUCCACUCACUUGCAGAAAUUCCCUGCUUCUCUGACAAAAGGCAAAAUGAUCAAAGAAAUGGACAGACUCCAUGAAGGUGCAUGAGUGAGGAUCCUGUGUAUUAAGGAUGAAAACGAGCCGUGUUCAAGGCUGUGAAACAGGCCUCCAGGUGUCUACUCACCCAGGCUAAGCAGGAGUAAAGACCCUGGGGCCCUCGACUCUAUCACAACAUAGAACCUGGGAAAGACAAUUCAAAACUAAUCUCCCCUCACUAUUAGUCAAUCAGAUUUUCCUCCAGACCCUUCUAUCUUGGAUUUUUAAAAAACAGUCAUGCUGUGUGAAGAGACUCUGAGCUGUAGUCCCCACGGCAUUCUCCUAAGUGUGCUUGCAACUUGCAGGAGAGAAGUCACCUGUGUUGUAAGGAGCAGAGCUGGCCCAUGAGAGGACCCAGAGUGAGUCAGCCUCAGCUCCGUAACUUGGUGAUGCUGCGCCAUUAAAAUGGGGUAAAGUCUUAUAUUUUGUCCCCAUAUCUGGGUGUGAAAAUCCAGUGAGAUAUUACAGAAUGUUUCUAUAAGCCGCAUUGUGAUGGGCCAAUCUAAUAUCUUUUAGGGGAAGUUUCUGAACUCAUGAGGAAUACCAUAUGAUCACCAUAUGGUUAGUAAAGAAUCAUAAACCACAUUCUCUGAAAAUUUUUACAUGCAAAUGAGUUUCCUGCCCUGGAAUGUGUGCCAUAGUGCAGCAUUUUCUCCAGAGAGUUCAGUGGAGCCAUAUUCAUCCACCGGUUUACUCACCGGUAAGCACUGGUGCAGUUCCUGCUAUGUAUCCAGUCCCAGGCUGGGCCCCGGGUAUUCAGGAAAGGCAGCAAAGUGCUUGUACUCUGGACCCCUGGAUCUGGUGGACAGGGUAGUCACAGGAGACCAAGUAUAACAUGGCUAGACUGGUCCCAGCACAGCCUGGAGGCAGAAUGGGACCCAGGACCACUUCCCAAGGAAGGAGCUUUGGUGCUGAGACCCUGCUUGCUGCAAGAGGAAGAGAGAGGGCGGACAGGGGUGGGCUCAGUGAGGGCUCUCAAAAUCUAGUUGCUGUCCACAAAAAGGGUCCAAAAUGCACGACAUUUGCAAGUGUGCACUGAGGUUUAUUCAGAAUCCUCUGUGUUAAUUAAUUUAUUGGUCAAAAAGUAAAAGAUGGGAAUCAGGGAUCCACAUUUUUUAUACCAAACAUUCCAAUUUUGACGAAGGUUUUAAAAAUGUGGGUGUAUAUCAAGAAAAGAAAAAAAAUGGGAAGACUUGCUGAGAAAUGGAGUUUGGGGAAUUUAGUAGAACUUCCUUAGAAAGUUCUAAACUGCAUUUACAAGCAUACUGGGGAAUUUUUAAAUAACUCAGACAUCUUCUGUGGUUUGACCCACACAAGUCUUGUCUUGCCAAACAAUUUGCUAAUUCAAAUUACUAGAUAGAAUGGUAACAAUGGAAAUUAAAAUGUUCCAUCUGUGUAUACAGUUAUAGUGGCUAUCUCUAAGGACUUAUGCUGAUUGUGAAUUAGAUAAAUCACACAGAAAUUCAAAUUUAAUGCUACUUUUAAUGGUACUUCUAGGAUAUCAAUUUGGAUUAGGCAUGGUGUCAGCAGAAGACAACCAGCUUGGGAAGAAAGAGGGGCCAGGGCAGCCUCAAUGUGCACUGAGGCCUUGUCUGUGAAAGGUAGUUGUUAGUUCCCAUCUCAGCUGUGUUCUGUGAGAUCCAUCACGUGUUCUUAUCAGUGGUGCAUGUAAAGCAUUUAGGAUGAUGCCAGGUGCAUAGUAAGUGUUCAUCAAUCUGAGCAAUGACACUACUUUUGUUAACUUCCAAAGGCCUGAUAUGGGCUUGUUUCCUGCAUCCGCUCACUGCUCUACACCCAGAAAAGGGUAGGCAUGGACACCGGAAAUUGUUCAUAGGGACAUUUAAAUAACAGAACAAGUGUCUUCCUAGAGAAACAGUGUGGCGAGCUUUGCUGAGUCUCCCCAGCACCAGAUCUUGACUGUGGGUGAUGGGUGCUGUGGUUUCUAGCUGGGUGUGGCUGCCAAGUUAAGAUGCCACGUCUGCAGCCUUUCCUAGGCUAACAACACUGUAUGGCUCCGUUUGGGGCCUAGGAGAAGCAAGAGGAUUGUUCUAUGCAACUUCCAGAAGAGCUCUUAAAAAGUCUCCCCUUCCAUACCUUCUCCGUCCUUCCUGCAGAAGGAGCCAGGCAGUGCCAGCUGCCAGCAGACAGGAGGCCUGGGCCCAGGAGUGUGGAGGUGCCCACCAGCCCAUGCCUACUUAUUCAGAUUUUCCUUUGUGUUAAAGAGAAAUAAUUCAGUUUAAAUGUGUUAUUAAACCUACAGUUUUAUGUGGCUUAAUUUUUUAAAAUUUGCAGCUGAAUCCAACCCUCCUAGAAGACACUGUUAUUGCAAAAAUGUAAUAAAACAUUCCAUUUUCACCUUGCCUGAGUAACUUACUUGCAUCUCUGCAGUUAUACACUACUUGGAAAAGAAAGUCUAACCAGUGGAUAGAGAUAUAUAGAUAUAAAUAUCAAUAUAGACACAGAUAUAGAUACCAAUAAAGACACAGAUAUAGAAACAGUUAAAAAUAUGAAUACAGAUACAGAUAUAUAUACAGAUAUAGAUAAAGAUACAGAUACAGAUAUAGAUACAGAUACA